This is a non-coding RNA of Drosophila virilis, 806 nucleotides long. The record is from RefSeq and is a predicted model, not a curated record. Lineage: Eukaryota; Metazoa; Arthropoda; Insecta; Diptera; Drosophilidae.
GACAUUGUGUCAAAAUAUUUUACAGAUUAUAUUUUAGACAAAUUAUAUUCGUUUGUUAUUGCGUUUAUCUUUUCAGUUUAAGCAAUUAAUCCGAAAUAACUUUGGAAAACUUCACAGCUUAAAUGCCACAAAGCAGAACUCUUAUAAUGAUUACCAAAGGGCCUCAUAAAACUGCCAACUGGGCGCAUUCUUCAACAAGAACUUCAACAACAGGUUCCUCAACCAACCGACAGCACCAGGGGUUCAGCAAAAGUUAAAUUAUAAGCCGCCAAAUGAUGUCUGUCGCCUAUGCAAACACACAGCCUGCCAUCCAAAAACUUCAGAGCCUGGAAUGAAAGGCGUCUGCCAAGCUCCUCCCUAAAGUGGAGGCACUUAAGAUGCUUAGCGCCAUGGCAAGCGAAAAUAAUGACGCUCAUAAAAACUAACUAAACAGAAAAAUAAAGCAAACAGCAUCAAAGGACGACAACGUGAAAUACAGUUAUAUAGACGGCAACUCAGAACUUAGACCGAAACGCUCGGGUUUUUGUGUAUAGAGCGGUAGUUGAUGGAAGCCUGUUGGUUGUUUUAGUAUACCCUGUAGAUGCGGUGUUCUAAUGGGGCAUACGCGGUUUUAACUACAUUAUAUUAUGCCUUUAGAGUUUGUGAGUAGAGCGGUAGAUGAUAGAAGCCUGUUGAUUGUUUUAAUACUUAUAUACCCUCCAUAUGCCACUCCUGAGGGGCAUACACCUGUAACUACAUUAUAUUACAUUUUAUUUAAAAAAAAGAGAUUCAUGAAUACUACAAUUUUGGUAUACUUUUAGACAAGA